Molecule: non-coding RNA, 823 nt
Organism: Myodes glareolus (Bank vole)
Lineage: Eukaryota; Metazoa; Chordata; Mammalia; Rodentia; Cricetidae
Source: RefSeq, a predicted model, not a curated record
GGCUGUGAGAAGGAAGGAAGAUUGAAGUCACACUGCUAGAGAGGGCUCUCCAGUGACAACUUUGAGAAGAGACAGACAGCCAAGUACUUGGCGCUGUUUACUGUGCUUGGCCUGCUUCCUGCCCUGACAACGUGGGCUCAUCUGUGAGGGAUGAGAUGUUAUCUCCAGUAGCUGAGACUUCAGGAACCCAGAGAUGAGACAAGAUGGCUUGGUUCCUGGAUUCCCCCUCCCACUGCUUGCUAUUUGACUCCUCAUCCAUCACCCUUUUUAUCCACGGGAUACUUUGGAAGUCCGGGUCACUUAUGAGUGUGUGAAAACAGAGACAUUAAGAAAGAACAGCUUCCAAGGUAGACAAGGACUGCGGCGCUAGGCAGUUCCACUCCGCUGGCUUCCUGCGACAAAGGGGCUUUGGGAAUUGAAGUGUCUCCGCCACCCUUAUGGUGGGAGAGGCAACCAGCUGAGCCCCGCAGGAACACAUAGCAAGCAGCUCAUGGGACAUAGGUCGGCUUGGUUCUCAGUACCAGUUCCAGAGCUGUCAAGCCAGGGAGGAUGCUGCUCAGCUCGGCAGAUGAAUGAAGACUUUGGUUUAGCGCAAAGUUUCCCUUUCCAACUCCAGUAUGGCGCGUUUUGCAUUCCUGGACUCAGCUGUGAUGCUGAUAAUUACUUGCUACGUCUAUCUAAAAAGACUCACGUUGUAGGCAAGCUCAGAUGGAAAUGAAAUAUUCUGUCUUGGAGCAGUCUCAUUUUUCACAGCUCGACAAUUCCCUCUGUACCCUUCUCCCCAGCACCCCACUGUGUCUGGGAAGCAGGUGUCUUAUGUCAA